This 302-nucleotide ribosomal RNA is filed under the name uncultured bacterium. RNAcentral's name for it is "bacterial SSU rRNA". It matches the Rfam family "Bacterial small subunit ribosomal RNA", at positions 775 to 1067 of the family's 1533-position model. The record is from RNAcentral.
GGAUUAGAUACCCUGGUAGUCCACGCCCUAAACGAUGUCUACUAGGUCGGAGGUUCUCUGACGAAUUUCUGGCCGAAAUGAAAACGUUAAGUAGACCGCCUGGGGAGUACGGUCGCAAGGCUAAAACUCAAAGGAAUUGACGGGGGCUCACACAAGCGGUGGAGCAUGUUGCUUAAUUCGAUGCAACGCGAAGAACCUUAUCCUGGGUUUGACAUGUUAGGAUGCCUCCUUAGAAAUAAGGUUGGUUGCUCUUCGGAGUGAAACUAUCACAGGUGCUGCAUGGCUGUCGUCAGCUCGUGCCG